This 641-nucleotide ribosomal RNA is filed under the name uncultured freshwater eukaryote. RNAcentral describes it as "bacterial SSU rRNA". It matches the Rfam family "Eukaryotic small subunit ribosomal RNA", at positions 856 to 1554 of the family's 1831-position model. The record is from RNAcentral.
GCUUAGGUUUCUCGUCUUAGGAUCAUCUGGGGUCAUUCGUACUCGUCCGCGAGAGGUGAAAUUCUUGGACCGGACGAAGACGAUCAGCAGCGAAAGCAUCUGUCAGGGAUGUUUUCUGCGACAAAGGACGAAGGUCAGGGUAUCGAAGACGAUUAGAUACCGUCGUAGUCCUGACUGUAAACUAUGCCGACUUGGGUCUUGCAGAGUAAAUACUUUGUGAGACCCACACAGAAAUGAAAGUGUAUGGGUUCUGGGGGUAGUAUGGACACAAGUCUGAAACUUGAAGGAAUUGACGGAAGAGCACCAUAAGACGUGGAGCUUGCGGCUUAAUUUGACUCAACGCGGGAAAACUUACCAGGUCAAGACAUGGGCGUGAUUGACAGGCUAAUGACCUUUCUCGAUUCCUUGGAUGGUGGUGCAUGGUCGCACUUAGUUGGUGCAGCGAUUUGUCAGGUUUAUUCCGGUAACGAACGAGACCUCGGCCUUGUAAAUAGUUUUACUGCUUACAGGGACAAUGUCGGCUACGUCAAGGAAGUUCGAGGCAAUUGCAGAUCUGGAAUGCCCUUAGAUGUCCUGGGUCGCACGCGUGCUACAAUGACGCCACGAGCGAGUUCAUGUGUUGAAAGACAUGUGAAAUCAGC